This 324-nucleotide ribosomal RNA is filed under the name uncultured eukaryote. RNAcentral's name for it is "partial 18S ribosomal RNA". It matches the Rfam family "Eukaryotic small subunit ribosomal RNA", at positions 1470 to 1796 of the family's 1831-position model. The record is from RNAcentral.
CCCUUAGAUGUUCUGGGCUGCACGCGCGCUACACUGAAGCUAUCAACACGUUUUCCCUCCCUGAGAAGGGCGGGUAACCUUUUGAAUCAGCUUCGUGGUAGGGAUCGGGGCUUGCAAUUGUUCCCCGUGAACCAGGAAUUCCUAGUAGACGCGAGUCAUAAGCUCGCAUCGAUUAAGUCCCUGCCCUUUGUACACACCGCCCGUCGCUACUACCGAUUGAACGUUUUAGUGAGGCAUUUGGACCGACGCAUCUCAGUUUAACCGCUAGUUUGUGUUGGAAAGACUUCCAAACUUGAGCGUUUAGAGGAAGUAAAAGUCGUAACA